Molecule: ribosomal RNA, 253 nt
Filed under: uncultured bacterium
Lineage: Bacteria
Description: partial 16S ribosomal RNA
Rfam family: Bacterial small subunit ribosomal RNA
Source: RNAcentral
GACAGAGGUGCCAAGCGUUAGGCGGAAUCACUGGGCUUAAAGCGUGUGUAGGCGGAUGCCUAAGUACCUUGUGAAAUCCCACGGCUCAACCGUGGAACUGCUUGGUAUACUGGGUGUCUUGAGCCAUCUAGGGGCUACCGGAACAAAUGGUGGAGCGGUGAAAUGCGCAGAGAUCGGGAGGAACACCCGUAGCGAAGGCGGCACUCUGGGCCGGUACUGACGCUGAGGAGCGAAAGCGUGGGGAGCAAACAGG